Daphnia pulicaria is the source of this 871-nucleotide long non-coding RNA. RefSeq lists it as uncharacterized. The record is from RefSeq and is a predicted model, not a curated record. The transcript is spliced from 5 exons. NCBI's taxonomy places the organism in Eukaryota, Metazoa, Arthropoda, Branchiopoda, Diplostraca, Daphniidae.
UAUAAAGAUACAAGCAAUACAAGUUUUGAAAAGGAGACUCAACGAAAAACGGAACGAUAACUUUUCUGGACGCUCGCAGCUUUCCAUGCUCUCCAGCAUGCUCUCCAGUCUCCAUGCUGUUUGGCAGGCCUGAGUCAGCCAUUGUAACAGCAAAGUUUUGCUUGUGCUGGACAUAGUGUUUGACUGUUGACCUCCUGUCAUCAGGAACAAUCACAGUAUCAUCGGUUAGCAUCCUGUUUAAUUGGAGAAACCUCCAGUGUCGGCCGAGUUAAGGAUCUCUUCAAAUCCCCUUUCUUUAAAUGUCCUCGUGUACGCCCAUGUGAAUGUGGGUGUAUUCACGAGGACUCUCUUUGACCCUUUUUCCUAUCCCUCGAUCCUGGUGGUGUGGUGGAUUCGAAUUUUCUGUGGAAGGAUGGAGCACCUGGAUGUGGAUGCCUGGCUGUACUUCCCAGGCUUCAAGAGGAGGUGCGUAACGGGCGACGGCGUGUAAUGACUUGCCUUAUAUGGGCACAAAGAGAGAAAACGCCGCCAUCACCUCCUCCAGUGGCUCCUUUUUCGCCCGGCUCUCGCGCCGCUCUGCCGAGAUGCCGUGCGCGGCCCCGGACGACAAUUUCUCAAUUCCCACAAGGUGUUUUUUUUUUCUUCUUCUUCUUCUUUUCUGUGCUGUUGUUGUUGUCUUGUUGUUCUCUUCUUCUUCUUCGCCUGAUUGUCGUUGUACUUUUCUCAUUCUUCAUGCCUCUCUUCAGCACUUAGACGACGACCCAAAGCCGCCGAUGAUGAUGAUGAUGAUAUCUGACGGGGGCUCUUAUAUUCUUCUUCUCUGAUUAUUGUCAUUAUGUACCGCGAGAAAGAAUGGGAAUAAAGAGGAUGA